GAUGAAGAACGUAGCGAAAUGCGAUACGUAAUGUGAAUUGCACAAUUCAGUGAAUCAUCGAGUCUUUGAACGCACAUUGCGCCCCCUGGUAUUCCGGGGGGCAUGCCUGUCCGAGCGUCAUUGCUGCCCUCAAGCACGGCUUGUGUGUUGGGCCUCCGUCCUCCUCCCGGGGGACGGGCCCGAAAGGCAGCGGCGGCACCGCGUCCGGUCCUCGAGCGUAUGGGGCUUCGUCACCCGCUCUUGUAGGCCCGGCCGGCGCUUGCCGACACAUCAAUCUUUUUUCCAGGUUGACCUCGGAUCAGGUAGGGAUACCCGCUGAACUUAAGCAUAUCAAUAAGCGGAGGA
This 345-nucleotide unclassified non-coding RNA is filed under the name soil metagenome. RNAcentral describes it as "partial contains 5.8S ribosomal RNA, internal transcribed spacer 2, and large subunit ribosomal RNA". The stretch from base 1 to 120 matches the Rfam family "5.8S ribosomal RNA", at positions 35 to 154 of the family's 154-position model. The record is from RNAcentral.